AGAGUUUGAUUCUGGCUCAGAUUGAACGCUGGCGGCAGGCUUAACACAUGCAAGUCGAGCGGAAACGAAGGUAGCUUGCUACCAGGCGUCGAGCGGCGGACGGGUGAGUAAUGCUUAGGAAUCUACCGAGUAGUGGGGGAUAGCCAUUGGAAACGAUGAUUAAUACCGCAUAUAUCCUACGGGGGAAAGCAGGGGACCUUCGGGCCUUGCGCUAUUCGAUGAGCCUGAGUGAGAUUAGCUAGUUGGUGGGGUAAAGGCCUACCAAGGCGACGAUCUCUAGCUGGUCUGAGAGGAUGAUCAGCCACACUGGGACUGAGACACGGCCCAGACUCCUACGGGAGGCAGCAGUGGGGAAUAUUGCACAAUGGACGAAAGUCUGAUGCAGCCAUGCCGCGUGUGUGAAGAAGGCCUUCGGGUUGUAAAGCACUUUCAGCGAGGAGGAAAGGUCAGUAAGUAAUAUUUGCUGGCUGUGACGUUACUCGCAGAAGAAGCACCGGCUAAUUUAGUGCCAGCAGCCGCGGUAAUACUAAAGGUGCAAGCGUUAAUCGGAAUUACUGGGCGUAAAGCGCGCGUAGGUGGUUUGUUAAGUUGGAUGUGAAAGCCCAGGGCUCAACCUUGGAACUGCAUUCAAAACUGACUCACUAGAGUACGAGAGAGGUUAGUGGAAUUUCCUGUGUAGCGGUGAAAUGCGUAGAGAUGGGAAGGAACACCAGUGGCGAAGCGACUGACUGGCUCGAUACUGACACUGAGUGCGAAAGCG
Molecule: ribosomal RNA, 760 nt
Filed under: uncultured bacterium
Lineage: Bacteria
Description: bacterial SSU rRNA
Rfam family: Bacterial small subunit ribosomal RNA
Source: RNAcentral